Molecule: unclassified non-coding RNA, 172 nt
Filed under: uncultured Ascomycota
Lineage: Eukaryota; Fungi; Ascomycota
Description: sequence contains ITS2
Source: RNAcentral
CCACCCUCAAGCCUCGGCUUGGUGUUGGGGAUCGCCCCUCCCCCGCGAGGUGGCGGCCCUUGAAUCCAUCGGCGGUGCCGGUGCGGCCUGGAGCGCAGCAGCGAUGCAGCUCAGGGACGCCCGACGCCCGCCGUGCAAGCGCGGCAGCGGAAACGCGGCCACAACCGUCAAA